AUGGCGGGCGUGCAGACCAUGGCUCGCUAUGGAAGGCCCUUCCCUUCCCUCUCUCUGUUCGAGCCAUGCUCAGGCAGUCUUUUCUCUUCUCUUCCCGCAAAAAAAGUCUUUUCUCUUCAUGAUCUGAACAUGUUGGAGGCCAUUAUUUCUCCACUGCCGGAGUCUAGCCUCCCUCCGUGGGAUGCCAUGGAGAUGAAACUCCCCUCGACAAAAGAAUUCAAGGGCAUGUGGGAGAGAGAGGAGGUCCAUGGAGAAGAAGCUCUGCUCCAACCCUCCCUGCCUCCUAAUACAAGAUGUCUUUUUUGUGUGUGCUUGUAUUGCAGCAGCCAUGUGCGUAUCAAAAAAGGGUCCAGUUUGCAGCAGUCACAUGAUACGGACAUGUUUUUUCAUCACAAUUGGAUUUUUGGAUUUACUAGGCUAAUUGGUGGUGGUUGCUGUUGUUGUUGUUUUGGCAGCAGCAGCAGCAGCAGGCAGAGUGACGAUGUUGGCUAUGUGCAGGCCAUGGAGGCUUUGAUGAGCACGAGGGGAAGGCCGCUGCUUCAACCCCGUUAA
RNAcentral lists this ribosomal RNA (552 nucleotides) under Triticum aestivum (bread wheat). RNAcentral describes it as "partial small subunit ribosomal RNA". The record is from RNAcentral. Lineage: Eukaryota; Viridiplantae; Streptophyta; Magnoliopsida; Poales; Poaceae.